Molecule: non-coding RNA, 74 nt
Organism: Phycisphaerae bacterium
Lineage: Bacteria; Pseudomonadati; Planctomycetota; Phycisphaerae
Source: Rfam
GGGCCCAUAGCUCAGUUGGUUAGAGCUACGGACUCAUAAUCCGUCGGUCCUUGGUUCGAGUCCAAGUGGGCCCA